AUAGUAGAAAAAAUGCAGUAGCUAAUAAUUAAUAUAAUUAAUAAUUUGGGAACAAAAAGAAUAGGGAAAAAUUUUUUGACCCCUUUCAGUAUUUGCUAGAUUGAAAUUUGUGACAAUGCCAUUUUAAGAAAGUACAGCCAGGCAUGGUGGUGCAUGCCUAUAAUCCCAGCACUUGGGAAGCUGAGGCAGGAGGAUCUCCAUGCAUUCGAGGCCAGCCUAACUUACAUAGUGAGACCCUGUCUCAAAAAAACAAAACUAAAAAAAGUGCAAUGUAGGAGGGCCGGGGAUUUAGCUCAGUUGUUUUGCCACCUGCUGCACAAGCGCAAGGCCUUGAGUUGGAUCCCCAGUACCAAAAGAAAAAAGUACAAUGUAGGAAUUGGGGAUGUGACUCUGUGCCAGGAGAAUGUUCCUACUUUGCCCAGUGUCCUAGGUUCCAUCCCAGCACUGAGGAAAAAAAGAGGUACAAUGUAUAAAUAAUAAUCUAUAUUUGUAAACUGAUUAUUUUAUAGAACAAAUUAAUUUAGUGUAAGCAGUUUUCAUUGUAAUUUUAAAAUAUACAUGCCUGAAAAGUUGAAUUUUUAAUAAGGAUUUAUAGAAAACAACAGAACAUUAUGUUUCAGAGUUGCUCAUUUGGUCUGCAUUUUCCCAAAAGGUACAGCCAGGUGUAGUAGUGCAUACUUAAAAUCCCAGCACUCGCGAGGCUGAGGCAGGGGAAUUGCUGCAAAUUCGACGCCAGCCUGAAUUACAUGCUGACUUCAAGUCCAGCUGAACUACAUAACAAGACCCUGUAUCAAAAAACAAAAAUAAAUAAAUAAAUGUAAUUAGUUGUUGAUCGCUUAUGCAAAAAAAUAAAGUCUUGGUGUCAUAUGGAUAUAAAUAGUUUUGAAUAAAGUCUGGUUGUUUCUUGUGGAGGUACAAUAGUGAAGAUAAACUGAUAUAACUGCAGUAAUGAGGUGGCCUGAUAGUAUAGUAGUUUAAAAAUAGUUACACUUAAGUCCAGCACAUAAAACAGACACAUUAUCUGCUCUUCGGGUUGAACUAGGUAUAGUGGGCCUGCAGCAGUUCUUGCUUGGUAUACUUAUUCUCUCCUAUCCGAGAAUAUCCAGUUUGAA
Molecule: long non-coding RNA, 1112 nt
Filed under: Heterocephalus glaber (naked mole-rat)
Lineage: Eukaryota; Metazoa; Chordata; Mammalia; Rodentia; Bathyergidae
Description: lncRNA (ENSHGLG00100044130.1)
Source: RNAcentral